GGGGCUGAUUCUGGAUUCGACGGGAUUUGCGAAACCCAAGGUGCAUGCCGAGGGGCGGUUGGCCUCGUAAAAAGCCGCAAAAAAUAGUCGCAAACGACGAAAACUACGCUUUAGCAGCUUAAUAACCUGCUUAGAGCCCUCUCUCCCUAGCCUCCGCUCUUAGGACGGGGAUCAAGAGAGGUCAAACCCAAAAGAGAUCGCGUGGAAGCCCAGCCUGGGGUUGAAGCGUUAAAACUUAAUCAGGCUAGUUUGUUAGUGGCGUGUCCGUCCGCAGCUGGCAAGCGAAUGUAAAGACUGACUAAGCAUGUAGUACCGAGGAUGUAGGAAUUUCGGACGCGGGUUCAACUCCCGCCAGCUCCACCA
Molecule: transfer-messenger RNA, 363 nt
Filed under: Escherichia coli
Lineage: Bacteria; Pseudomonadati; Pseudomonadota; Gammaproteobacteria; Enterobacterales; Enterobacteriaceae
Description: Standard tmRNA
Rfam family: transfer-messenger RNA
About the family: Bacterial tmRNA, also known as 10Sa RNA or SsrA, is named for its dual tRNA and mRNA-like properties. Its role is to liberate the mRNA from a stalled ribosome. To accomplish this part of the tmRNA is used as a reading frame that ends in a translation stop signal.
Source: RNAcentral